Molecule: microRNA precursor, 129 nt
Filed under: Dasypus novemcinctus (nine-banded armadillo)
Lineage: Eukaryota; Metazoa; Chordata; Mammalia; Cingulata; Dasypodidae
Description: miRNA (ENSDNOG00000048545.1)
Source: RNAcentral
UUCGCUCCUCGUCCCGCCCCGCCUGCUCGGCGGCGGAGGCGGCGGCGGCGGCGGCGGCAGCAGUUGUCUCUGCCUCUCCGCCACCUCCACCCCGGCUCGUGUCCCGGCCGGCGGUGUUGGCGGGGAGGG